RNAcentral lists this ribosomal RNA (253 nucleotides) under uncultured bacterium. Its description in RNAcentral is "partial 16S ribosomal RNA". It matches the Rfam family "Bacterial small subunit ribosomal RNA", at positions 524 to 776 of the family's 1533-position model. The record is from RNAcentral.
UACGUAGGGUGCAAGCGUUAAUCGGAAUUACUGGGCGUAAAGCGUGCGCAGGCGGUUGUGCAAGACAGAUGUGAAAUCCCCGGGCUCAACCUGGGAACUGCAUUUGUGACUGCACGGCUGGAGUGCGGCAGAGGGGGAUGGAAUUCCACGUGUAGCAGUGAAAUGCGUAGAGAUGUGGAGGAACACCGAUGGCGAAGGCAGCCCCCUGGGCUGAGAUUGACGCUCAGGCACGAAAGCGUGGGGAGCAAACAGG